ACGAUGGCUACUAGCUGUUCGGUUUUCGGACUGAGUGGCUAAGCGAAAGUGAUAAGUAUCCCACCUGGGGAGUACGUUCGCAAGAAUGAAACUCAAAGGAAUUGACGGGGGCCCGCACAAGCGGUGGAGCAUGUGGUUUAAUUCGAUGAUACGCGAGGAACCUUACCAGGGCUUAAAUGUAGAUUGACAGGUUUGGAAACAGACUUUUCUUCGGACAAUUUACAAGGUGCUGCAUGGUUGUCGUCAGCUCGUGCCGUGAGGUGUCAGGUUAAGUCCUAUAACGAGCGCAACCCCUAUUGUUAGUUACCAUCGAGUAAUGUCGGGAACUCUAGCAAGACUGCCGGUGCAAACCGUGAGGAAGGUGGGGAUGACGUCAAAUCAUCACGGCCCUUACGUCCUGGGCUACACACGUGCUACAAUGGUCAGUACAGAAAGCAGCUACCUGGCGACAGGAUGCGAAUCUCAAAAGCUGAUCACAGUUCGGAUUGGAGUCUGCAACUCGACUCCAUGAAGCUGGAAUCGCUAGUAAUCGGAUAUCAGCCAUGAUCCGGUGAAUACGUUCCCGGGCCUUGUACACACCGCCCGUCAAGCCAUGGAAGCUGGGGGUACCUGAAGUCGGUGACCGCAAGGAGCUGCCUAGGGUAAAACUAGUAACUAGGGCUAAGUCGUAACAAGG
This 676-nucleotide ribosomal RNA is filed under the name Myroides phaeus. RNAcentral's name for it is "bacterial SSU rRNA". It matches the Rfam family "Bacterial small subunit ribosomal RNA", at positions 806 to 1496 of the family's 1533-position model. Lineage: Bacteria; Pseudomonadati; Bacteroidota; Flavobacteriia; Flavobacteriales; Flavobacteriaceae. The record is from RNAcentral.